Macrobrachium nipponense is the source of this 4260-nucleotide long non-coding RNA. RefSeq lists it as uncharacterized. Lineage: Eukaryota; Metazoa; Arthropoda; Malacostraca; Decapoda; Palaemonidae. The record is from RefSeq and is a predicted model, not a curated record. The transcript has 4 exons.
UGUAAGAGCUGAAAACGCGAAGAUGGCUGACAUUUGUCCGGGUGUUUCUGUAAUAUACUUUCGUGAUAUAAUCGUGGUGUUUACGGAACUUUCAGUUAUGUUUAUGUAUGAAAUGUGAGCUGAUGGCUAGGCUAUAUAACCCACCUGAACAAUUUCAGUGAUUUUGAGGCAGAAAAUGAAUGUGCCCAAAUUUUUAAUCGCCGGUUCAUGUAUAGUUCCUUCGGUGAUGCACAGAUCCGGUGCUCAUAGAACUCUCAGUGGUUGCCCUAUUACGGUGCUUUUAAGUGAAAUAUGUGAGUUUGACUAGUAUAUAUCUAGGCAGAGAAAGUUCACAGUGGGUUUUGAGAGCAAACGAAACUUCGUUUAUGAAGGGUGACUUGGUAGCUAUAACAGCCUUCACUAAGUGCCUCGAGUUACAGGAAGUCAUGUAGAAUCCCCCAGUUUUACAAGAUGAGGUGACCUAAAGUCAUGUAGAAUCCCCCCCAAGCCAUAAACUCUGGGAAUAUGAGAAACUUCCAGAUGCUCUAGCAGACCAUCCAGGAUGGGAUGAAAAUUCAAGGCCCGUGGAUUGAUUUUGGACUGCAUUUGCCAAACCCAUAUGGUAGAUAUGGCAUGCAGUAUGAAGAUAGGGAGAAGAAUUUUCAUCAGUAUCCCAAACAUCAAAUCACAAGAACAUGGAGAUUAAGAACACAGCUAGAUUUUCGUGUCAUCGAUUUCCAGCAUGGAUAUGGCAAAAUUUUUUCUUACUUGUAAAUAUGAAGAACACAAGCAAUUUUAUUCCCAUCAAGAAUGAAAAAUACAUUGUACAUCGUGUUUACCUCUUAGUAACAUUUUAUUUUGGUUUUCAUGUAAUAAGUUGUAUUUCAUAAUUUUUUGUUUAGGGUAUCGCAAGUAAUUUUAGAUAUGUGUAAUGUGAUCUAGAAGACUGCAUUGAUCUGAUUGUAAUAUUUUGCUAAUGUUUGAAUGCCCUAUGAGAGCAGAUGAUUCUGGAACUAGUUAGACAAUAGCUAGUGAUAGGUGAGGCUUUGCUGAUUUUGAGUGAGUCCUGUAUUUCACACACCUACAUACUUUCCUGCUAGUAAUAUGCAUUGAGAAUGUCAUUCUGACUGUACCAUGUAUUUGUCUGGUGGGGUAUGUCUCAAGUUGCCCUUUUAUUCUGAAGUUUAUGCCACCAAUGUCAAAAUGCAGAAGUCCUUUGGUUAAUUUCAUUGGUAUCUACAUGUGCAGCUGAAUAAUGACUCAGCUCAGAUAAGGUUAAUCACUUAAUUUAGAUUUGAGUAUAGUGCCUCUCCAAAACAGGUCCCUCUGACCAAGUCCUUUAGAUAUGCAACAGUUCCUUCUACCAUUCUCAUCGUAUAUGAUUAGAUAUAUCCUUGACUUGGCCCAGAUGAAAUUGUUAGGAAUCAGGUGUGCUGUUUAGUAGUGUAUGAGUGUAUCAGGGUGGGAUGGGGUGUAGCAGUGAGGCAGAUAAAUAAGUUCUCUGAUUCUAGGAGAAUAUCUUAGCAUGUCCAUUAUAAUAGGUUCUGUGUCUAGUCACCUUAAUAACCGACCCCUUACUAUUUCCCUUCUAAUCCUUUCCGACAAGUACUGUUGGACACGCUUUUUAUUUUUUUUGCUGUUGUGUUUUGUUUGUUAUGCAAAUCUUUCAUAAGGCCCUUAAAGACAUUAAGUCAACCUGAAGUUCAUGGCUUCCUACUCUCAGGCAUAAAUCUGUCUCUGUUGGUUUUCCUUCCACACACAUUGUGGCUUUCCUUGAGGUUCUGUUUUUGCACCCACUUUUCCUCCUCUUCAUCGGUCACACUUACACCAUCCUGUCUACCUCUUCCUUGCCAAUGAAUUUGCCUCUGUGAUUGUCUCCUUUUACUGUAUAGUCCAUGUCUUGCCGUUUGCAUUCAGUCUAAUUCAUCUUUCUUCAUUUACUGUCUGUGGCCAUAGGAACAUAGAUAAACGCAGACCACAGUCUAAUUCCUAUUUCUUCAUUUACUGCCUGUGGCCAUAGGGACAUAUAUAAAUGCAGAUCCCAGUCGUUACUGUACAGUACUUACAAAGUUGAAGGUUCCAAGACACUUAUGGCAUCUUUCUUUGUCAGGUCUCAUCCACUUCUUGAUUCAUUGAUUUAUUCUUUCAUCGUGUUGAUUCUGUUUUAAAGAAAGGUAAGAUGUCCUUUUAUUGCAGAUCCAUAUUUUUCCUUUCAUUUCUACCGUUGUUCCUCCUUCACUUCUCCACCUCUUCAUGUGGUUCCACUCUCUCCUCCUUUAUUGGAGAUCUUUGCAUAACAGAUGCUUCUUUCCUGCCUCAGUUAAUACAAAUGUUUUUGUGUUCCAAGACCAGUUCUUGGUGCUUUAGUUAUGUAUGAGGGGAGCCCACACUGUCUUCUGUGGUCUUGAGUACUUCUUUCUCUUGUACACAGUUGUUCCUGCCCAGCCGUAUGACUCAGCCAUUGCAUAUACUUGCCUGUCCCAGAGUGUGCUUGACUGCCCUAGAGUAUUUUACUUUCUUAGUGUACUCAACUGCUCCCAUGUUCCCAAUUGACCUUGCAAACCUGGGUGCCCCUGGGUACUCUGUUUUGGCAUAAUCAGCUGCUGAAUGUACAUGAAGGAUAGUGUGUAUUCAACUGCUCCAUUCUAUUUGACAGCUUCAUUGUAUAUUAUUGUUUCAGUAAUUCGUGGAUAAUUGGUGCUGCACAGUCUUGAAAUUUCAGUAAAUUAAAGAUAAUUACAGUAUAUAAAGUAUUGUAUUCUAUACUUAUAGAAAGUGAGAAAUUUGUAUUUUGGCCAUAUUUUAACUUGAAGUUACAGUAAUUAGAGAUGGUAUUAUAAACCCAAGGAAGUGUUGGACAUGAGAGGGAAGUGUCAUAGUAGAAAAAAACAAUUUUUCUUGUGCAACAUACAAGGCUUAGACGUAAUGGGUUUGAUUUUUUGAAAAUUAAUUUAUCCAUUGUAUGAUAAUGUUUGAAAGCUGUUAAAUGUUUAAAAAAUUGCCUUCUGUAACUUAGCCUCCAACAAAGAAUGUGUUAAGUCAAGGUCAUUUGUUGGGCUCACAGGCUUUGCCAAUCUUUGUCAGAGACCUUGUGUUCUCAUUAGAGACUGACAACGAACAAAGCUCCCUAAGGCUAGUAAUAUCUACCUUCAAGACCUUGCUUUGAGUCUUCUAAUUCCUAUUCAUUAGUGGUUUUCUUGAGACUCGAGCUAAUUUCAUUGAGGAGCAGCUAAUUCUGGUAGUUUCCCCUAAUUAAAAGUUUAUCUUGUUUUGUGUUUGCAGUUUUAUCAUUAUGUGAACCGGGUGCAAAAACUCGCUACUCACGCUGUUCUGUUUUGAUAGUAGGCGUUUAUACAUUUUUUUUUUCUUUAGAAGAUUGGAUAGGACAUCAAAAUGAAGUCCCCUAUUUUCAUCCUUGAAUUGGUCUCCCUUACUUGACCAUAGAUAAUGAGUACCCCACGUGAUCCAAUAGCUAAAUGCAGAGAAUCCAGUUAUUCAUAUCUGAUAAGAAUGCCCAAAUUUCAACCAGCACCAUGUAAGUUUUGUCAGAAUCUUCAUCAGUGUCAGUUUAUCCAGUUAUUGUUUUAAAAGAAUCUCAUAAGAUAAAAUCUAAAUUCAGUUGUUAAAGAUAAAUACUUUUUUUUUUCAUCCCUAUGUGAGAUAUGUAAUUUGACUUGUGGUCAGGUUAAACUAGAAAGUAUGUAAUGCUGAUAAUAUAUAGUAGAUGGAAAGUGUCUGAUUUUACUGUAAAGACAAAUAUUGAGGUUUGCGCUGAAAAACUUGGCACCUGGACAUAAUUUCUAACAAUCCCUUCGGGAUGUUUUGUUUUAAGCAUAUAUAGUCAAGUUUUUUUUAAUUUUGUUCACAGUGGAGGCUCGAGUUCUAUGAAAUUUUGUCACAGUGGAGGUUCUUUAUGGCUAAAAUGCAUGAUUCAGUUUCCAUCUAGUGUGAGUACUGUGCAGUGCCAUUUUUUACCACGAAGGAAGAAAAGAAACCUGAAGUUGUAAAUAGUUUAAUAUUUAUUAAUCCGUCCAUAGCAUGUUUGAAAAGUCAGAAUGAUUGGGCAACAUUUGCUGUUUCUAAGUGUUGCCUUCCUUUGGUCACGUAGGGUUAAAAUAAUGAUGAAUUUCAUUUGAUUUCAUGUGGAAAAGAUUAUAUAGAGUUUUUCAUGUGGUAUGUACAUUGUGAGUUUUGUUGUUUUUAUUUUAAGGAUGAGUUUCAGUUUGUGUAUUUAUUUUAUGGAUGAGUUUCAGUUUGUGUAAAUACAUGUGUGUGUUUUUU